GAGUAACACGUGGGCAACCUGCCCUCAGCUCUGGGAUAACUCCAAGAAAUUGGUGCUAAUACCGGAUGUGACCGCUGACCGCAUGGUCUGGUGGUGGAAAGAUUCAUCGGCUGAGGAUGGGCCCGCGGCCUAUCAGCUUGUUGGUGGGGUAAUGGCCCACCAAGGCGACGACGGGUAGCCGGCCUGAGAGGGUGACCGGCCACACUGGGACUGAGACACGGCCCAGACUCCUACGGGAGGCAGCAGUGGGGAAUAUUGCGCAAUGGGCGAAAGCCUGACGCAGCGACGCCGCGUGAGGGAUGACGGCCUUCGGGUUGUAAACCUCUUUCAGUAGGGACGAAGCGAAAGUGACGGUACCUACAGAAGAAGCACCGGCCAACUACGUGCCAGCAGCCGCGGUAAUACGUAGGGUGCAAGCGUUGUCCGGAAUUAUUGGGCGUAAAGAGCUCGUAGGCGGUCUGUCGCGUCGGCUGUGAAAACCCGAGGCUCAACCUCGGGCCUGCAGUCGAUACGGGCAAACUAGAGUACUGCAGGGGAGACUGGAAUUCCUGGUGUAGCGGUGAAAUGCGCAGAUAUCAGGAGGAACACCGGUGGCGAAGGCGGGUCUCUGGGCAGUAACUGACGCUGAGGAGCGAAAGCGUGGGGAGCGAACAGGAUUAGAUACCCUGGUAGUCCACGCCGUAAACGUUGGGCGCUAGGUGUGGGGGCCAUUCCACGGUCUCCGUGCCGCAGCUAACGCAUUAAGCGCCC
Molecule: ribosomal RNA, 750 nt
Filed under: Modestobacter caceresii
Lineage: Bacteria; Bacillati; Actinomycetota; Actinomycetes; Geodermatophilales; Geodermatophilaceae
Description: bacterial SSU rRNA
Rfam family: Bacterial small subunit ribosomal RNA
Source: RNAcentral